GAAAAGAAGGCAAAGAAGGCAGAAGUGAUGGCCAAAACACAGAAGACACAGGGCAAAGCUAACGUUUCUAGGGGAGCUGCUCCGAAAGGACCAAAGCUUGGUGGUGGCGGUGGCAAACGUUGAACUCUUUAUGCUGUAAGCUAAGAAGAGUAGUAUGCUUUGAUGGUCUUUUAAAUAGCAAGCCUGAGUAAAAGAUAAUGUUUGAUUAUUUCCAAAAUUUUGAAUGGAUGAAUUAUUGUGGUUUACAUUUUUCUUGCAGUUAUGUUACAAAUAUC
This 275-nucleotide unclassified non-coding RNA is filed under the name Hevea brasiliensis (rubber tree). The record is from RNAcentral. Lineage: Eukaryota; Viridiplantae; Streptophyta; Magnoliopsida; Malpighiales; Euphorbiaceae.